UGGGGAAUAUUGGACAAUGGGCGCAAGCCUGAUCCAGCCAUGCCGCGUGAGUGAUGAAGGCCCUAGGGUUGUAAAGCUCUUUCACCGGUGAAGAUAAUGACGGUAACCGGAGAAGAAGCCCCGGCUAACUUCGUGCCAGCAGCCGCGGUAAUACGAAGGGGGCUAGCGUUGUUCGGAUUUACUGGGCGUAAAGCGCACGUAGGCGGACUAUUAAGUCAGGGGUGAAAUCCCGGGGCUCAACCCCGGAACUGCCUUUGAUACUGGUAGUCUUGAGUUCGAGAGAGGUGAGUGGAAUUCCGAGUGUAGAGGUGAAAUUCGUAGAUAUUCGGAGGAACACCAGUGGCGAAGGCGGCUCACGGGCUCGAUACUGACGCUGAGGUGCGAAAGCGUGGGGAGCAAACAGG
This 404-nucleotide ribosomal RNA is filed under the name Actinomycetes bacterium. RNAcentral describes it as "Actinobacteria bacterium partial 16S ribosomal RNA". It matches the Rfam family "Bacterial small subunit ribosomal RNA", at positions 355 to 776 of the family's 1533-position model. Lineage: Bacteria; Bacillati; Actinomycetota; Actinomycetes. The record is from RNAcentral.